Molecule: transfer RNA, 91 nt
Filed under: Tissierellia bacterium
Lineage: Bacteria; Bacillati; Bacillota; Tissierellia
Description: tRNA-Ser
Rfam family: tRNA
About the family: Transfer RNA (tRNA) molecules are approximately 80 nucleotides in length. Their secondary structure includes four short double-helical elements and three loops (D, anti-codon, and T loops). Further hydrogen bonds mediate the characteristic L-shaped molecular structure. tRNAs have two regions of fundamental functional importance: the anti-codon, which is responsible for specific mRNA codon recognition, and the 3' end, to which the tRNAs corresponding amino acid is attached (by aminoacyl-tRNA synthetases). tRNAs cope with the degeneracy of the genetic code in two manners: having more than one tRNA (with a specific anti-codon) for a particular amino acid; and 'wobble' base-pairing, i.e. permitting non-standard base-pairing at the 3rd anti-codon position.
Source: RNAcentral
GGAGAGGUGGCUGAGCUGGCUGAAGGCGCUCGCCUGGAAAGCGGGUAAACAGGGAACUGUUUCAGGGGUUCAAAUCCCCUCCUCUCCGCCA